Molecule: long non-coding RNA, 1666 nt
Organism: Macaca fascicularis (crab-eating macaque)
Lineage: Eukaryota; Metazoa; Chordata; Mammalia; Primates; Cercopithecidae
Source: Ensembl
UAUCCCAAACUAACCCUGGUAAAAGUUCCUGCACUUCUGACCACUAGCCAAUUAUGGUUCAAAUGCAGCUCCUCAGGGGCAGAGAACCAAAGCAUUAAUUUCCUCUACUCUUGAAAGUUCAUAUCAAUUCCCUUGUUCAAUUUCUUCAGCUUCAGUACAAAGGAAGUCCUCCGGUAUAAAUUUAUGAAAUGCAUGUGCAACUAAACCUAUCCCAAAACAUUUAUGAAAUACAUUUAUAUAUUUGAUUUUUAGAUGGUGGAAAGACAGAUAAGUGGGGGUAGUUAUGUAAUAUAAAAUGAAAUAACCUGUAGGAAACUAAAGAUUUUUCUUAGAUUUUUCCCACAAAGUUCACAUCGUGGGAAGAUCAGGUACAAAUGUAAAGGCAUAUUCAACUUUAAUAUCUAAAGAUGCAGGCUCACGCCUGUAAUCCCAGGACUUUGGGAGGCCGAGAUGGGUGGAUCAUGAGGUCAGGAGAUUGAGACCAUCCUGGCUAACACAGUGAAACUGCAUCUCCACUAAAAAUACUAAAAAUUAGCUGGGCAUGGUGGUGCACUCCUGUAGUUCCAGCUACUUGGGAUAGUGAGGCAUGAGAAUCGCUUGAACCCAGGAGGCGGAGGUUGCAGUGAGCCGAGAUUGCACCAUUGCACUCCAGCCUGGCAACAAAGCAAGACUCUGUCUCAAUAAUAAUAAUAAGUAAAUAAAUAAAACAUGUGUGCACAUAUGUGAUGUAUUUCUAUAACUUUCUAGUGAUUUGUUAAAAAUGAUACUUCAAGGGCCAUGCAAUAGUUUGUAUUUAUCUCUGAAAUUCUAUUCUAAUUCAGAAUAAUUUAUAAAUAGCAACAUUAAACAGUUUUAGAGCACUGAAUGUACAAAUACCAAAAUACAGAUCUAACCACUCCCUCACCAUCAUCCCUAUCUUGACUUAAAAUUGGCUUCUGAUUAACUCAGAAAAUUUCAGUUUACAAUCAGAUGCCUUCAAUUCUCAGACAAGGUAAUUCACCUUUCUUUCUUCUCACAUAGCAUGUACCUUCAACCCUCUGAUUUUUGAAGUCUGCAAGCAUAGUACAGUGUAGUGAUGUUACAGGAGAGAUUUACAUAUCUUCUUCUUUCUUCCCUUUUUAAAACAUUCUUUCGCUUUAUCAGUGUCAGUCAUUCAGGCACCCCUUUGACAAGGGACUUGAAGGAAGGUGACAGUACCAGAGUAGAAGAUGCUAUAUCAAAAAGAGACUGAUGUUUUAUGAAUACUUCCUGUGAUUGCAGAUGUUCAUUUAAAAAUAGAAGGGCUAUAAUUGUUGGAGGACUGCUUAAGUUAUUUGAAUUUUAUUAGGGGAAAAAAUGAUAAAUAAAGCCUAAAAGCCAAGUAGGGAGGAAGAAUGUAAAGGCUGGUAAAGGCAGACCAGGUUGUUGUGGGAUUUUAUCCUUUAGGGGGCUUCAUUUUGCACCACAGGUGGCCAAGAGGAAUUUCAUCCCAUUAUCUUACAAGUGCAGAAAGCUUUGCAUUUUGGCCCCCUAGGGUGCUCUCGCAGGCCUCCUGCUAUUCCCUCUAUUAUUUUUGCAAGCAUUACUGCCAAAGAUGCUAUUAUUCUGGUUUACAACAGUUGAUCACUGCUGUGAAUUUCAGGCUGUAGACAAAAUGGAUUCCUGAAAGAAAAAAAAAAAAAAAAAA